This 202-nucleotide long non-coding RNA is filed under the name Musa acuminata (dwarf banana). Its description in RNAcentral is "long non-coding RNA (MACU_LNC008350)". Lineage: Eukaryota; Viridiplantae; Streptophyta; Magnoliopsida; Zingiberales; Musaceae. The record is from RNAcentral.
CCCUACUUGGGUUAUAGGAUUAACACCUAAUCCUAACCCUAAUUAAUGUGCUAACUACGAAUUUAAAGACAUUUCCUAAGCUAUUACAAAGUCCGCAAGUCAAGACUUCUUCCGGCGAGCUUCCGACGAACUUCCGAUAAACUCUCGGAAACCAUUCUGCGGACUCCCGGCAAGCUCCUAGACUUCACGAUUUGAUCUUGGC